GUUCGUGGUUGGGGGUGGUGGUGGUGGUGAUUAGCACGGCUCUAGUACAUGUCAAUUUUGUGAAUCAGGUGAUUUUGUCCGGGAAGAAAACCAAUCGAUUCGUCCUACUUGUAGUGGAAUUUAUGCUCUAGCAAGUAAAUGAUGAAACAAUAUUAGAUACAAGCUUUAGAAGUCUAAAUGCAUGAAAAGACAGUUCAUGGUAUUUGUAACAAGAACAUAUCAAUUGGCACACAAGUUAACAAGAUUUUCAAUCUCAAAAUCUGUUUGUGGAGGAUAUUGAAUAAGCAAUCUGAUUACUUUUGUUUCGUCACUCGAGCUUUUUUCCCUCCCUUGCAACAUAAUCAUCAAUAUACUCCACAUAAUGGGUGUCUGAGGAAGACGGUAAGAAAGAGAGUAAUCAAACUUCUAAACAACUUUCUAGAAAAUUACAAAGUGAAAAAACAGAGCAUUCACCAGGUAUCAAAUCCAUUUAUCACUCUGCACGCCCCCAAAAGGUUGGGACAAGUGAUCCACAAUUCUGCUAAAGAAGGUACAAUCUAAUGCUGAUGGUCUGCCAUAAGCUUUAGCCAAUUGUGGAGACUAUCCAGCGUGGUUUAAAUACAAGACGCAACAAAAAACACAAAAUCUUGCCCUAUUACACAUGCUUUUGGGCUCCCAUAGGCCAUUGCCACCAGAAAAGCAUGCUAAGAAAGUUCUGAGAUAUUAAACUUUAUAGAUAUCUAUUGCAACUAGGAUCCGCGACCACCUGAGCAUGAAAUAGGGAGAAGGGGCAGCUGAGAUGCAGGUGAUAUUGGAGCAACAGAAAGCUGAUUCACAGGAAGUAAUCAGGUGUUCUCCGGGUAACAUCAGGCUCUCCCCUCCUAGGAGCUGGCUCAAACUGCAACGCAUCAAAGAGCACCACCCUAAGAAGUUUUUACCAGAGUACAACAGUAUCGAUUGAGAAGAAAUUUGGGAAAGAGAGACAAACUGACUUGGAUGAAAGUGUGAGCCUUGUAAUCAUCAACUUCCAAUAUAGAUGCCAUGUUUCCGCAGCGGUAACAAUAAUUAGGAGCACUAAAUAUGGUAACCACCUUUUGUUCAUGUGCCCAGUUAAAUCCAUCCAUAACAAGCUGAUGUGCUCUAGCAAUCAACUUCAAGUUGUUUGUAUGAUUAAAUUGUUCGGAUAUAUCCUGACCAAAAGUAUAUCCAGCACCUCGAGGUGAUAUACCCCAGCCACAUCGGUCAUCUGGAUCAGACCAUAAGAGAUCACACAUUGGACCUUCAUGAGGAACCUCUUGUAUUCGGUCCAAGGAGCGGAUAUUAUCCAAUGUAUCUAAAGAUGGAGAAAGACCACCAUGCAAGCAAAAGAUCUGACUCUCAAUUAGGGCUGUCAGUGGCAGAUAAUCAAAUAGGUCAGUGAAAUAUUUCCAGACAUUUGCAUUUCCAUAUUUUCUUAAGCAUUCAUCAUAAAACCCAUACCUGUAAGGAGAGAGGAAAAAAUAAUAGCUCUGGUAGAAACUGCAGAUUUUAUAAUGCAACAUUUACACAUCCAAAUAACUAAAACGCCAAGGUACCAACACCUUUCGUCUUUCAGUCUUUCACUGUCCUAUGCACAAGAAUUUGAUUGAAUGGCUCAUAUUAAUGAACAAAAUGAAGAGAGUGAGCUAUUCAUGCUAUCUGUCUUUGUAAAUUUUAAUCUGUGAUUUUUUAAAAGGAAAUAAUUUUUAACAAAAUAUAAAGAAAGUUAAAUAAUGCAAUCAUCAGUAAUAACUCUAGAAACUUUAAAUCUAGGAAACCUGUGAGGGAGCAGUUUUACACUCCACAACUGCUUGUAUAGGUUUAUUUCACUAGCAAAGCAAAGAUACUAAUACAACCAGUGUUGGCAAGAGGCGCCCAAACAAGGCAAAAUCCAGGCACCUUGCCUGGGAAACCUCCAGGGGAGGUUCCUUCAACUAGGCGCUGCCUAGGCGCCCAGGGGAGGCGUCACCAAGCGCUCCCAGGAAAGUAAAACGCUAGAAAUUAAAAAAAAAAAAAG
RNAcentral lists this unclassified non-coding RNA (2014 nucleotides) under Hevea brasiliensis (rubber tree). The record is from RNAcentral. Lineage: Eukaryota; Viridiplantae; Streptophyta; Magnoliopsida; Malpighiales; Euphorbiaceae.